GACGUAGGGCGCGAGCGUUGUCCGGAUUUAUUGGGCGUAAAGAGCUCGUAGGCGGCUUGUCGCGUCGACUGUGAAAACCCGCGGCUCAACCGUGUGGUCUGCAGUCGAUACGGGCAGGCUAGAGUUCGGUAGGGGAGACUGGAAUUCCUGGUGUAGCGGUGAAAUGCGCAGAUAUCAGGAGGAACACCGGUGGCGAAGGCGGAUCUCUGGGCCUGUUCUGACGCUGAGGCGCGAAAGCUAGGGGAGCGAACAGG
RNAcentral lists this ribosomal RNA (254 nucleotides) under uncultured bacterium. Its description in RNAcentral is "partial 16S ribosomal RNA". It matches the Rfam family "Bacterial small subunit ribosomal RNA", at positions 524 to 776 of the family's 1533-position model. The record is from RNAcentral.